UUCCUACGGGGGGCAGCAGUGGGGAAUAUUGGGCAAUGGGCGCAAGCCUGACCCAGCAACGCCGCGUGAAGGAAGAAGGCUCUCGGGUUGUAAACUUCUUUUAUCAGGGACGAAGCAAGUGACGGUACCUGAUGAAUAAGCCACGGCUAACUACGUGCCAGCAGCCGCGGUAAUACGUAGGUGGCAAGCGUUAUCCGGAUUUACUGGGUGUAAAGGGCGUGUAGGCGGGAAAGCAAGUCAGAUGUGAAAACCAUGGGCCCAACCUUGGGCCUGCAUUUGAAACUGUUUGUCUUGAG
Molecule: ribosomal RNA, 296 nt
Filed under: uncultured bacterium
Lineage: Bacteria
Description: partial 16S ribosomal RNA
Rfam family: Bacterial small subunit ribosomal RNA
Source: RNAcentral